This is a long non-coding RNA of Microplitis mediator, 2471 nucleotides long. RefSeq lists it as uncharacterized. The transcript has 3 exons. The record is from RefSeq and is a predicted model, not a curated record. NCBI's taxonomy places the organism in Eukaryota, Metazoa, Arthropoda, Insecta, Hymenoptera, Braconidae.
AAAAAGUUAUGGUCUAAUUUAAUAUUAUUAAUUAUUUUCUACUCAUAUAUUAUUAGUUUUAUAUUAGGUGAUUAUUCACCACGUUUAUUAUCAUUACUAGUUAAUCAACUAUAGUCUUAAGUAUAAGUAUUCAGUUUAUUAAAUAUUUCAUUAGUUGCGUUACCGAGACAUCACAAGUCUUGUGUAAAGUGGUAUUUUUUGUGAAAUAAAGUUGAGUUUAUCGUUAUUGACGCAAUGUAUCAUUACUGAACCACUGCCAUUCACUUGUUCAUCUGCUACGACCGUCUAUGUUCAACCGAAAGGGUCAAUCAAGGACGCAGAGUAUUGGUGCGGAAAAUCCCCGACCAGCGUAACCCAAUUAAACGAAGCUUAAGUGAUCAUUUACCUAUCCGCAAGGACUUGAUGACUGAAGUAAUUGAACUUUUUUUAAUAAAUAAAAGUUCAGUGUUUCAACAUACAUAUCUAAAAUUUUAAGUGGAUGGUAUUUUUCGACUCCACUAAGUAAAAUAAGAUGUAUGUUGGCAAAAUUCUUUGAUAAUUUGAUCAUGAGACCCAUUGCAAUAGGCCGAUUUCUAAAGAAAUCUACCUAAUAUCAUAGUUCGUAAUUACAAAUAUGUAAAUACUUUGUCGUUAGUCUAGUAUGACAAUGAUAAAAAAAAAAAAAAAUAAAAAAACAUUAUCGCAAAAAACAAACCAUUUAUUUAUUAGUUGUUCUGACAAUUACAAAAUUGUUAAGAACGGUGAUUUCAGGCGAGUCACUGAAAUUUUUAUUACAACGCACUUUUAGUUUCCUAAAAGGUGUUCAGUAAACAAUUUCAUUGGAAAAGUAAUUGCAGAAGGUAACAGUAAUGUAAUAUUCAAUUAUUAUUCACUAAAUUAUCAUGCAAUAGGACUCUAAGUGAAGUCUUAUAAGAUGUCAAUACCUAUGCAGAGUAAUGUUUAGGACAGCAUUGUACGUCAAUCAUUGCGAUUGUGAUCUAAAUGCACUUUUAGUUUCCUAAAAGUUGUCCCAACUAUACUUCAAGACAAAAUAUAUAAUAAAAAAGGCCAUUCGGCAGCCGAAAUGAAAGGUAGAUUUUCCAAUUAAUCUAUAUAAAAAGUUUCAUACAUACAUAUCUUGUGAUUCAUGUUAGUGUAUAGUCAUGAUAUGAAAUUAGGCUUGUUUUCUAAGAGUGAGGGUAAAAAAAGACAACGACUAUUUUCGAUAGAAAACUUCAGAUAGUUGAUUUGACAAAACAAUAUAUAGGUAAUGUACCAAACUAACCUUCACGUAAACAAAGUAUAUAGAAAAUUUAAUUACUAUGAUCAUAAUUGUAAUCGCUAUUACGAUGGCAUACCAGUUAUAAUUAUAGGACGUACAGGUACGUUUGAAACAACAUAAGUGAUAAAAGAAAUCCUUUUAAAAUAUAAAAUAGCAGUGAAAUUUACAGGUUAUUUUCUUCACAAUGAAAUACAACUAAUGAAAUUGAAUUAGAAUGGGAAAUGCUUAAGUUAUGUGAAAUAAAAAACCAUAUUUCCAACAUUUUUUAAUUUCAUUUAAAAUUUCAAGGCUAUCAAAUUAUUGGAAGAAAUAGUCAAAAUAUAUCGUUUAAGAGGUCUACCCUCUUUAGACGGGCAAAGAUAAGGCUAUUUUCACGAAUUUUUUUGACCGGUAUACGUCAUAAAUAUGGACAUAAAAAAUGUUAGGCCUAAAAAAUACACUAUUUGAUUACACAAGAAAAUUUUUUUUAUAUUUAUUUUAAUCAGUUUUUAUACAUAAAAAUGAGGGAGAAGACUGGUCCAAAAAAAAAGAUGAGUGUGCGCUGUUGAUGAAAUAUCUGGAUUGGAUGAUCUGAAAAAAAAAAAAAAAUAGUUUUAGAUUCAGCUGUCCCCAGUUGGCAAGAUCCCUCCCUUGGGUUCUUGAAAAUACCCUAGAAACAGUCUGGAAAUAUUCUGGUAACACGAUGCAACCAUACGGACUCUAGAGUAUUUCCAAAACGGAUUUUUGCUCCUUUUGAGAAUGAACUCAGAGUAUUUCCAGAGUUAUUACACACGGAAAAAAGAAAACUAGAAUAGUUACAGAAUAAAAUGUAGAAACAAGCCCGUCAUAUUAAAAAUCACAAAAGUUAAUAUGUAUACUGUAAUUUUUAAAUUUUAUCCUGUAAAACAUUAGUUGCAUAUUAAGCAGUAAUAUUUACAGUUUUAAAAUGUAAAAGGAACAGAACAAAAUGUAAAAUAAUUAUUACCUUUUGCUCACAGAAAGUUCUUUUCAUUAAAAAUUAUUCAUUCCUCUUUAAAACUGCAAAAAUUACAGUUUAGCCGUUGAGUAAAAAUUAAAGUAUCAAAUAGGAAAAUUUGUUGAGUGGUUCAAGAAGAUUUACAGUGCGGGCAUUCAAUUAUGAACCUUGAUGUAGAAAAUGGAACUAUUACAUCUCACACUGUAAUUUCUAACAUUUCUAUAUCAAGUAUCAUCAAUGCUUUAGCAAUCACGA